UACGUAGGUGGCAAGCGUUGUCCGGAUUUACUGGGCGUAAAGCGUGCGUAGGCGGUCCGCGAAGUCUGAUGUGAAAGCCCCGGGCUCAACCUGGGAACUGCAUUGGAAACUAACGGGCUCGAGUGUGGCAGAGGGGGGUGGAAUUCCACGUGUAGCAGUGAAAUGCGUAGAGAUGUGGAGGAACACCGAUGGCGAAGGCAGCCCCCUGGGCUAACACUGACGCUCAGGCACGAAAGCGUGGGGAGCAAACAGG
RNAcentral lists this ribosomal RNA (253 nucleotides) under uncultured bacterium. Its description in RNAcentral is "partial 16S ribosomal RNA". It matches the Rfam family "Bacterial small subunit ribosomal RNA", at positions 524 to 776 of the family's 1533-position model. The record is from RNAcentral.